CCUACGGGAGGCAGCAGUGAGGAAUAUUGGUCAAUGGGCGGAAGCCUGAACCAGCCAAGUAGCGUGCAGGAUGACGGCCCUACGGGUUGUAAACUGCUUUUAUACGGGAAUAACGCGCCUUACGUGUAGGGCUUUGCAUGUACCGUAUGAAUAAGGACCGGCUAAUUCCGUGCCAGCAGCCGCGGUAAUACGGCGGGUCCGGUCUUUAUCCGGAUUGCUUGGGUUUAAAGGGAGCGUAGGCGGCAUGUCAAGCGUGCUGUGAAAGGUCCGGGCUCAACCCGGGCCUUGCAGCGCGAACUGGCGUGCUUGAGUCCGCGGAAAGCAGGCGGAAUUCGUCGUGUAGCGGUGAAAUGCUUAGAUAUGACGAAGAACCCCGAGUGCGAAGGCAGCUUGCUGCAGCGGAACUGACGCUGAUGCUCGAAAGCGCGGGUAUCGAACAGGAGUAGAUACCCCUGUAGUC
RNAcentral lists this ribosomal RNA (460 nucleotides) under uncultured bacterium. RNAcentral describes it as "partial 16S ribosomal RNA". It matches the Rfam family "Bacterial small subunit ribosomal RNA", at positions 338 to 795 of the family's 1533-position model. The record is from RNAcentral.